RNAcentral lists this ribosomal RNA (253 nucleotides) under uncultured bacterium. RNAcentral describes it as "partial 16S ribosomal RNA". It matches the Rfam family "Bacterial small subunit ribosomal RNA", at positions 524 to 776 of the family's 1533-position model. The record is from RNAcentral.
UACGGAGGGUGCAAGCGUUGUCCGGAUUUAUUGGGUUUAAAGGGUGCGUAGGCGGUCGAAUAAGUCAGCGGUGAAAUCCUCCGGCUCAACUGGAGAACUGCCGUUGAUACUGUUUGACUUGAGUUCGUCCGAGGUCGCUGGAAUGCGUGGUGUAGCGGUGAAAUGCAUAGAUAUCACGCAGAACACCGAUUGCGAAGGCAGGUGACUGGGACGCGACUGACGCUGAGGCACGAAAGUGUGGGGAGCAAACAGG